AUGAGAACCUUGUGCUGGAACUGCCACGGGAUUGGCGACCCCGUGACAGUCCGUGAGCUCCGAGAGCUCAUUCAGGAGUGUGCGCCGUCGGUGGUUUGCAUUGUGGAAACGCAAUUGUCAAAACAGCGUGUGCAAGGUUUGACGUCUAUGUUGGGCUUUGAGGGUGGUUUUGCGGUAGCCAGGAGUGGAAGAAGCGGAAGGUUGGCUGUUUUUUGGAGACAUGGUUUGAAUUUCAGAGUUAAGAACUUCUCCCGGUAUCACAUUGAUGCAUGGGCGGCCGAACCGGGGAAGGAGGACUGGAGAUUGGCUUGCUACUAUGGUGAGGCAAAUCGAUCACUUAGGCAGAACACUUGGAACACCAUGACCGGCUUCGAGGUGAAUCCACUCUUCCAUGGUUGUGUAUGA
This 405-nucleotide ribosomal RNA is filed under the name Triticum aestivum (bread wheat). Its description in RNAcentral is "partial small subunit ribosomal RNA". Lineage: Eukaryota; Viridiplantae; Streptophyta; Magnoliopsida; Poales; Poaceae. The record is from RNAcentral.